AAAGAUGAAUCAAAGAAGGUAAUAAUCCUGUAGUCGAAAAUGUUGUCUCUCUUGAGUGGAUCCUGAGUACGACGGAGCACGUGAAAUUCCGUCGGAAUCUGGGAGGACCAUCUCCUAAGGCUAAAUACUCUCUAGUGACCGAUAGUGAACCAGUACCGUGAGGGAAAGGUGAAAAGCACCCCGGAAGGGGAGUGAAAUAGAACCUGAAACCGUGUGCUUACAAGUAGUCAGAGCCCGUUAAUGGGUGAUGGCGUGCCUUUUGUAGAAUGAACCGGCGAGUUACGAUUUGAUGCAAGGUUAAGCAGUAAAUGUGGAGCCGUAGCGAAAGCGAGUCUGAAUAGGGCGUUUAGUAUUUGGUCGUAGACCCGAAACCAGGUGAUCUACCCUUGGUCAGGUUGAAGUUCAGGUAACACUGAAUGGAGGACCGAACCGACUUACGUUGAAAAGUGAGCGGAUGAACUGAGGGUAGCGGAGAAAUUCCAAUCGAACCUGGAGAUAGCUGGUUCUCUCCGAAAUAGCUUUAGGGCUAGCCUCAAGUGAUGAUUAUUGGAGGUA
RNAcentral lists this ribosomal RNA (555 nucleotides) under Staphylococcus aureus. RNAcentral describes it as "partial 23S ribosomal RNA". It matches the Rfam family "Bacterial large subunit ribosomal RNA", at positions 346 to 904 of the family's 2925-position model. Lineage: Bacteria; Bacillati; Bacillota; Bacilli; Caryophanales; Staphylococcaceae. The record is from RNAcentral.